Non-coding RNA from Zootoca vivipara (common lizard), 371 nucleotides. The record is from RefSeq and is a predicted model, not a curated record. Lineage: Eukaryota; Metazoa; Chordata; Lepidosauria; Squamata; Lacertidae.
CCUGGCUCGCCAUAUUGUUAUGAAAAAUGUACCCCAAAAUGCGUUGCCUUUUAAGAAGGACAGACGCGGGUCGGAAGCUCCAAAAUUUGCACUAAGUUCAGCUCCGCCGGGAAAAUGACAGAGACCACACGAUGCUGUCAGGAAAAACAAACUGAUCCCUUUAUUGCAGAAUGCAAAGCUACAGCUGUAGGGUCCCUGCCUCUGGAAAGAAGGAAGGAACCCCGGGAAAUGGUGGGCAAUCCUUCGAGAUGGGCGCAGGAGUGGAGCGAUUUCCUGACGAUUUCCAUGAGGUAAUUUUGGCAGGUGUUUUCCUUGAGGCCGCGGAAAGAUGGACUAUGGCAUGUUUAAUUUGAAUAAAGUUGUCAAGCUAA